This 497-nucleotide ribosomal RNA is filed under the name uncultured bacterium. RNAcentral's name for it is "partial 16S ribosomal RNA". It matches the Rfam family "Bacterial small subunit ribosomal RNA", at positions 28 to 507 of the family's 1533-position model. The record is from RNAcentral.
GAUGAACGCUGGCGGCGUGCCUAAUACAUGCAAGUCGAGCGAGCGGACGAGAAGCUUGCUUCUCUGAUGUUAGCGGCGGACGGGUGAGUAACACGUGGAUAACCUACCUAUAAGACUGGGAUAACUUCGGGAAACCGGAGCUAAUACCGGAUAAUAUUUUGAACCGCAUGGUUCAAAAGUGAAAGACGGUCUUGCUGUCACUUAUAGAUGGAUCCGCGCUGCAUUAGCUAGUUGGUAAGGUAACGGCUUACCAAGGCAACGAUGCAUAGCCGACCUGAGAGGGUGAUCGGCCACACUGGAACUGAGACACGGUCCAGACUCCUACGGGAGGCAGCAGUAGGGAAUCUUCCGCAAUGGGUGAAAGCCUGACGGAGCAACGCCGCGUGAGUGAUGAAGGUCUUCGGAUCGUAAAACUCUGUUAUUAGGGAAGAACAUAUGUGUAAGUAACUGUGCACAUCUUGACGGUACCUAAUCAGAAAGCCACGGCUAACUACGUG